Molecule: long non-coding RNA, 1000 nt
Filed under: Arabidopsis thaliana (thale cress)
Lineage: Eukaryota; Viridiplantae; Streptophyta; Magnoliopsida; Brassicales; Brassicaceae
Description: potential natural antisense gene, locus overlaps with AT1G69588 (AT1G69587)
Source: RNAcentral
UAUGAACUGGGCCUAACAACUAAACUAAGCUCUCUGGUAGCACCGUUAGGCCCUCGGCGACUGAACCGUCGUAGCGAGCCGUUCCUUGCGGCUAGGUGCCAAUGAUUCUCCUCCCCACCGUAUGAGGAAACUGCUGAUCCGGCGGCGGAGUUAAACUCGCCGGAAGAUGUAUUCGGAGAAUAACUGAACACAGAGGACCGGAGCCGUGGGCCAUGCAAACCGUUGGUACUAUUCCAUUACUACACAGCCUACAGGAGCUACUCAUAUAAAGCAUUAAACUUUGGCAAAAAAGAGGCUCAAAAACAAAGCAAGCAGGAGACCAGUCGUUGGUCCAAAAAACAAAAAUACCCAUUUGCUGAUUUUGAGUUCCCCUCCCUUUGCUUUUUCAGCAUUCUCGAGAUCUUUGAUGUGGUCGGAGGGAUCCAAAAGAAGUUUAAAGCAAAGUAAAACAAAGCAAACUUGAGGUUAUUAUUGGAUUAUAGCUGAUGGUGAUAUUCCCUCGGUGGAUAAAGGUCCAAUACACAAUCAUUAAAACAACUGGCUGAUGAGUGAUGAGCGAUGACAAUAGCAAAUGAAUUAGGGAUGUUGCAAUGGACUGAGUUGUUUUGACCCAAUUUUGGUUUAGGGGUCCAAUUUUGUCCUGAUUUGAAGGUUUAGGCUUUGGACCGGCUUGUGGUUGACCACUCUAAAAUGAAUAGGCAGAUGUGUCCAUGGUCUGCGUCGGUGGGGGUUUAGGCUUUAGCCUCAUGCGGACUAAAAUGGACCUAGUUGGAGAAAAUAGAAAUUGGUGUGUGGGUUCUCUUGCCAUCACAAGAUUCACAAUUCCUUGUUUCUAGCAUAUUGAUGUCCAACUUAUGAAAUACUGUAGUUGGUGUCAGAUUCUGUUUUCUAUUUAUGAGAAUUACAAUUGUGCAUUCUUGAUUAAUCAACCCAUUUUGACAUUCUGGGAAAAACGGGCCUGUAUAUUGAUGGGCUUGAAUAUGAUUAUUUUUCUUCCUCG